Molecule: long non-coding RNA, 337 nt
Organism: Lolium rigidum
Lineage: Eukaryota; Viridiplantae; Streptophyta; Magnoliopsida; Poales; Poaceae
Exons: 3
Source: RefSeq, a predicted model, not a curated record
CUUUUCCCCUCAAAAACCCUAACAAAUCCGCCGCCAGGCUGCCGGAUUUCGAGCUCACCGCCGCCGCCAUCUUGAAGAUCCCCGGUAGGCUCGUGAUUUCUCAUCGGAGCUUCGCCGGAGUUUGCGACCUCCAUCCACCCGUCACGGUCAUUCAAGUAUGAGCCAGUUGACUCCGAGGAUACGUACGUGACCACCGCGAGGAGUUGAAGACCGUCCACUACUGCGCCACCUUGGGAGAAUGCCGUAACCGGAACCACCGUCGACGAGCUGCAGUUCAUAUUUCGGCCGAUCGUGCGGAGUGUAACACGAAGAGCGCGAACGCCAACGACAAAUAAGG